Molecule: ribosomal RNA, 428 nt
Filed under: Lancefieldella rimae
Lineage: Bacteria; Bacillati; Actinomycetota; Coriobacteriia; Coriobacteriales; Atopobiaceae
Description: bacterial SSU rRNA
Rfam family: Bacterial small subunit ribosomal RNA
Source: RNAcentral
GAUGAACGCUGGCGGCGCGCCUAACACAUGCAAGUCGAACGGUUAAAGCACCUUUUAGGUGUGUAUAAAGUGGCGAACGGCUGAGUAACACGUGGGCAACCUGCCCUCCUCUUGGGGAUAGCCUCGGGAAACCGAGGAUAAUACCCGAUACUUCAAUGUGGCCGCAUGACGACAUUGAGAAAGCUUUUGCGGAGAAGGAUGGGCCCGCGGCCUGUUAGCUUGUUGGUGGGGUAGAGGCCUACCAAGGCAAUGAUGGGUAGCUGGGUUGAGAGACCGACCAGCCAGAUUGGGACUGAGACACGGCCCGGACUCCUACGGGAGGCAGCAGUGGGGAAUCUUGCACAAUGGGCGAAAGCCUGAUGCAGCGACGCCGCGUGCGGGAAGAAGGCCUUCGGGUUGUAAACCGCUUUCAGCAGGGACGAGGCGAA